CCUACGGGCGGCAGCAGUCGAGAAUCAUUCACAAUGGGGGAAACCCUGAUGGUGCGACGCCGCGUGGGGGAAUGAAGGUCUUCGGAUUGUAAACCCCUGUCAUGUGGGAGCAAAUUAAAAAGAUAGUACCACAAGAGGAAGAGACGGCUAACUCUGUGCCAGCAGCCGCGGGAAUACAGAGGUCUCAAGCGUUGUUCGGAAUCACUGGGCGUAAAGCGUGCGUAGGCUGUUUCGUAAGUCGUGUGUGAAAGGCGCGGGCUCAACCCGCGGACGGCACAUGAUACUGGGAGACUAGAGUAAUGGAGGGGGAACCGGAAUUCUCGGUGUAGCAGUGAAAUGCGUAGAUAUCGAGAGGAACACUCGUGGCGAAGGCGGGUUCCUGGACAUUAACUGACGCUGAGGCACGAAGGCCAGGGGAGCGAAAGGGAUUAGAUACCCGGGUAGUC
This 446-nucleotide ribosomal RNA is filed under the name uncultured bacterium. Its description in RNAcentral is "partial 16S ribosomal RNA". It matches the Rfam family "Bacterial small subunit ribosomal RNA", at positions 338 to 795 of the family's 1533-position model. The record is from RNAcentral.